RNAcentral lists this ribosomal RNA (2656 nucleotides) under Shigella flexneri. RNAcentral's name for it is "partial 23S ribosomal RNA". It matches the Rfam family "Bacterial large subunit ribosomal RNA". Lineage: Bacteria; Pseudomonadati; Pseudomonadota; Gammaproteobacteria; Enterobacterales; Enterobacteriaceae. The record is from RNAcentral.
GGUUAAGCGACUAAGCGUACACGGUGGAUGCCCUGGCAGUCAGAGGCGAUGAAGGACGUGCUAAUCUGCGAUAAGCGUCGGUAAGGUGAUAUGAACCGUUAUAACCGGCGAUUUCCGAAUGGGGAAACCCAGUGUGAUUCGUCACACUAUCAUUAACUGAAUCCAUAGGUUAAUGAGGCGAACCGGGGGAACUGAAACAUCUAAGUACCCCGAGGAAAAGAAAUCAACCGAGAUUCCCCCAGUAGCGGCGAGCGAACGGGGAGCAGCCCAGAGCCUGAAUCAGUGUGUGUGUUAGUGGAAGCGUCUGGAAAGGCGUGCGAUACAGGGUGACAGCCCCGUACACAAAAAUGCACAUACUGUGAGCUCGAUGAGUAGGGCGGGACACGUGGUAUCCUGUCUGAAUAUGGGGGGACCAUCCUCCAAGGCUAAAUACUCCUGACUGACCGAUAGUGAACCAGUACCGUGAGGGAAAGGCGAAAAGAACCCCGGCGAGGGGAGUGAAAAAGAACCUGAAACCGUGUACGUACAAGCAGUGGGAGCACGCUUAGGCGUGUGACUGCGUACCUUUUGUAUAAUGGGUCAGCGACUUAUAUUCUGUAGCAAGGUUAACCGAAUAGGGGAGCCGAAGGGAAACCGAGUCUUAACUGGGCGUUAAGUUGCAGGGUAUAGACCCGAAACCCGGUGAUCUAGCCAUGGGCAGGUUGAAGGUUGGGUAACACUAACUGGAGGACCGAACCGACUAAUGUUGAAAAAUUAGCGGAUGACUUGUGGCUGGGGGUGAAAGGCCAAUCAAACCGGGAGAUAGCUGGUUCUCCCCGAAAGCUAUUUAGGUAGCGCCUCGUGAAUUCAUCUCCGGGGGUAGAGCACUGUUUCGGCAAGGGGGUCAUCCCGACUUACCAACCCGAUGCAAACUGCGAAUACCGGAGAAUGUUAUCACGGGAGACACACGGCGGGUGCUAACGUCCGUCGUGAAGAGGGAAACAACCCAGACCGCCAGCUAAGGUCCCAAAGUCAUGGUUAAGUGGGAAACGAUGUGGGAAGGCCCAGACAGCCAGGAUGUUGGCUUAGAAGCAGCCAUCAUUUAAAGAAAGCGUAAUAGCUCACUGGUCGAGUCGGCCUGCGCGGAAGAUGUAACGGGGCUAAACCAUGCACCGAAGCUGCGGCAGCGACGCUUAUGCGUUGUUGGGUAGGGGAGCGUUCUGUAAGCCUGUGAAGGUGUGCUGUGAGGUAUGCUGGAGGUAUCAGAAGUGCGAAUGCUGACAUAAGUAACGAUAAAGCGGGUGAAAAGCCCGCUCGCCGGAAGACCAAGGGUUCCUGUCCAACGUUAAUCGGGGCAGGGUGAGUCGACCCCUAAGGCGAGGCCGAAAGGCGUAGUCGAUGGGAAACAGGUUAAUAUUCCUGUACUUGGUGUUACUGCGAAGGGGGGACGGAGAAGGCUAUGUUGGCCGGGCGACGGUUGUCCCGGUUUAAGCGUGUAGGCUGGUUUUCCAGGCAAAUCCGGAAAAUCAAGGCCGAGGCGUGAUGACGAGGCACUACGGUGCUGAAGCAACAAAUGCCCUGCUUCCAGGAAAAGCCUCUAAGCAUCAGGUAACAUCAAAUCGUACCCCAAACCGACACAGGUGGUCAGGUAGAGAAUACCAAGGCGCUUGAGAGAACUCGGGUGAAGGAACUAGGCAAAAUGGUGCCGUAACUUCGGGAGAAGGCACGCUGAUACGUAGGUGAAGCGACUUGCUCGUGGAGCUGAAAUCAGUCGAAGAUACCAGCUGGCUGCAACUGUUUAUUAAAAACACAGCACUGUGCAAACACGAAAGUGGACGUAUACGGUGUGACGCCUGCCCGGUGCCGGAAGGUUAAUUGAUGGGGUUAGCGCAAGCGAAGCUCUUGAUCGAAGCCCCGGUAAACGGCGGCCGUAACUAUAACGGUCCUAAGGUAGCGAAAUUCCUUGUCGGGUAAGUUCCGACCUGCACGAAUGGCGUAAUGAUGGCCAGGCUGUCUCCACCCGAGACUCAGUGAAAUUGAACUCGCUGUGAAGAUGCAGUGUACCCGCGGCAAGACGGAAAGACCCCGUGAACCUUUACUAUAGCUUGACACUGAACAUUGAGCCUUGAUGUGUAGGAUAGGUGGGAGGCUUUGAAGUGUGGACGCCAGUCUGCAUGGAGCCGACCUUGAAAUACCACCCUUUAAUGUUUGAUGUUCUAACGUGGACCCGUGAUCCGGGUUGCGGACAGUGUCUGGUGGGUAGUUUGACUGGGGCGGUCUCCUCCUAAAGAGUAACGGAGGAGCACGAAGGUUGGCUAAUCCUGGUCGGACAUCAGGAGGUUAGUGCAAUGGCAUAAGCCAGCUUGACUGCGAGCGUGACGGCGCGAGCAGGUGCGAAAGCAGGUCAUAGUGAUCCGGUGGUUCUGAAUGGAAGGGCCAUCGCUCAACGGAUAAAAGGUACUCCGGGGAUAACAGGCUGAUACCGCCCAAGAGUUCAUAUCGACGGCGGUGUUUGGCACCUCGAUGUCGGCUCAUCACAUCCUGGGGCUGAAGUAGGUCCCAAGGGUAUGGCUGUUCGCCAUUUAAAGUGGUACGCGAGCUGGGUUUAGAACGUCGUGAGACAGUUCGGUCCCUAUCUGCCGUGGGCGCUGGAGAACUGAGGGGGGCUGCUCCUAGU